GCAUACAUAUAUUUUAGGCCUGCUCUGAUACCAACUGAAGGGAAAGAAACUAUUUCUCCUCUGAUUGCCCAGGUUGCAUCUAAAAUUUUUUCUAUUUAUCUUUAUGAUUAAGGAUCAAAUUCUUACCUAAUUAGUAGUAGAACCAGAGAUCAAAUCUCAAUUUAUCUAGAUUAAACCUUCACGGAGGCCUGAAUAUGCAGACCCUCUACUUCGCAUGCACGCCAGAUGCCGC
Molecule: long non-coding RNA, 232 nt
Filed under: Elaeis guineensis (African oil palm)
Lineage: Eukaryota; Viridiplantae; Streptophyta; Magnoliopsida; Arecales; Arecaceae
Description: long non-coding RNA (EGUI_LNC061755)
Source: RNAcentral